ACUGUGUGCUAUACGUCAAAAUGGUUGGGGGCAGCAAAUACAAAAAAAAAGAAAUGUGAAAUUAAGAGAUGUGUGUUGGCGGCGGAGAAUGGCAAAUGGCGAACAGCGAGCAGCAAGCAGCGAGCAACGAGUGGCGAGUGGGAAAGUGGAGAGCGGAGAGUGGAGAGUAUGCGAAUGGUGGUUGAGUGGUUGCAGGUGAAAAUAAAUUGUCCUUGCUGCUGUCCCGACUACAUAAUUAAAUUUCAAAUUGAUUCCGGCCUUUUGCUGUCACCUGAAAGCCAUCAAUUUCCCAAGCCCGGCGAGUACAGACAUUUUCGAUGACGUGCUGAAACUCAAAAUGAAGGAAUUCUGUUUUGCUCUAUUGAUUCUCCUGAAACCUAUUUAUCGCGCAGGUAGUCGAUGAUACAUUGUAGCUGUUUUCAUUAAAUUGCCAUUGAGUUUGGAAAAGUUUCACGAGCUAAACUUGAAUUAACCGAAUUUUAGUUAGCAUCGAAUCCAUGUUGGAUACAAGAUUGUUUAUUUGAAACUAAAUAAAUAUGUAUAUAUGUAUUUAAAACUACAAAUAUAGGUAAAAACUAAGACAUAUGUAUAUUUUAGACUGCA
Drosophila nasuta is the source of this 603-nucleotide long non-coding RNA. RefSeq lists it as uncharacterized. The record is from RefSeq and is a predicted model, not a curated record. The transcript is spliced from 3 exons. Lineage: Eukaryota; Metazoa; Arthropoda; Insecta; Diptera; Drosophilidae.